CGGCCGGUCACGCGCGGGUCGUUGGAUGAUUAGCGAUCGAACCGCUGUUUAGCCACGUCUUCCACACAGGGGAUCAAACGCGUGGCUGUUGGGGCCCAUGCACCGCCCGCGACCUUAUCCCUUCGCUUCCAUAUCCACUCGCAUCUCCUUCCCCAUCCACCAACAGCCGGGGGCGCGGUCGUCGCCAUGACUGCCGGCCACUGGAUGCGCCUCAUUUUGAAUCGUGUGCAGAUCACCCGCACCGGAUGCAUCCCUCUCCAUGGCCGUCCACGGCCAGGGGCUUGCUCGUCGCCUUGUCCGCGGUAACUGGACGCACGCCCUCUCCAUGGCAACCGCAGCCAGAGCUUCGCUAGUCGCCAUGACCAACCUGCAAUCAGCCGCGGGGGCGACGAGUUUGUGCUGGAGCCGGGGAUUGCUGGAACCAGUUGGUGGACGUGCUGCAAGGUUGACAGCUCACAGGAGGAAGCUGCAUCCAGCGGCGAGGAGGGCUGCAUCCAAUGUCGUUCAAACGCCGGGAGUUGCAACCAUGUACGCCGGAGCUACAACCGGUGACCGGGGGUGUUGCAAGAGGGAGUGGCCGUUUUUGCUGAUGCGUCUUUUUUUGGUGAACCAAAUUUUUGUUUUUUGCUGGAACCGAUGAAUUUCUUUGCUGGAAUAGAUAUAAUUUUUUGCUUCAUCGGCUGCAGAGCUCUCAAAUGUUUCAUGUUGUUUUUGCUGGGGC
Molecule: ribosomal RNA, 721 nt
Filed under: Triticum aestivum (bread wheat)
Lineage: Eukaryota; Viridiplantae; Streptophyta; Magnoliopsida; Poales; Poaceae
Description: partial small subunit ribosomal RNA
Source: RNAcentral